UUUAAAUUCCAAGUCUGAAACUUCCAUUCUAAUUCCAUAAACUUACGCACUUUCGUUCCCCAUGUAGGGUGACUUGGUGAUUUCAACCUCAAACAUACAACUCGUCACGAGAUUAUCAAGUUUGAAGCCUGCAAAAACGCAACACAAGUGAAGCAUCGAGAAGUCAAACCGGAGCAAACACACAGUUGAAGGAAAAGCUAUAAGGUGAUGGACUUCACUUAAACAUUCAAACGGCUCAAACUAAAGAAACGAUAAAGGUUUGGUUGUAUAAAAGCGAUUGAUUUUGCUAAGGGAAAGCCAAACAGGUCAAUUAAGGGUAGGUGCAAACUGGGUAACAUGAGCACUUAUUCCGUAAAUAUUAAGCCUGGGUGACGGGUAAUGAUUCGAUUAACACGCAAGCUGGUAAUGGAAUGUCGAAUGUAACGAACCCAGGAAACGGUAGAAUGGAUGUGUGUAAUCCCAAGUAAUAUUUAUGUAAGUGGUCUAAGUCUAUGCACUUAGAUCACUAAAGAGUCAAAUGUUUAUGUAACGCCCCGUUUUUCGUAACUUUCCGUUUUUAGAAAGUUCAUCUUGUAUUUCUAUUUUUGGAAACUCGUUCCCUUUGUAAUCAUAUCUCGUUCAAAUCAUUGUAA
Long non-coding RNA from Helianthus annuus (common sunflower), 632 nucleotides. RefSeq lists it as uncharacterized. The record is from RefSeq and is a predicted model, not a curated record. The transcript has 3 exons. Lineage: Eukaryota; Viridiplantae; Streptophyta; Magnoliopsida; Asterales; Asteraceae.